CUUAAAAGUCCCAACUCAGAUGAUUCUGUGACAUCCCUAGGGAAGCCCAGAAGUUGGGAUACUUUCUUCGUUUUCCUCCUGCCAAUGUGCUAUUGGACAGGCUUUCCACCUCCUGUUCUAGAGCUGCACUCGUUUCUUCAAUUUUUCCUACUCCAUCUUUUGUCCAAAUUGCUAAAAGCAGUAGAAGAUAGCAUAUUCCUCUGCUGAGCUGAGCAAUCAUUGUAAUUCCAGGGUUCAACAUUUUAAUUCUCAACUACCUGUUUUUGUUUAGUUAAUGAAAAAAGAGGUGGGGACCUGUUGUGAAGCACUGAAGGAUUUGAGACCCAGAGUACCUUAAACAAAUCUAAGAAAACUUCGUUAAAAAAAGAAAAAGAGAGACCAAAAACCAAGAAGGAAAAAUAGUACUCUUGACUCCAGCCUUGGCAUUGUUGAGGCGACAGAGCUGGUAACAUGCUGGAAACAGGGAUUCCUCAUAGACCACCCAGAAGAACACAUCUCAGGUCUGCUUCGUGGACUCUACGUGCAGACUCCAUUUGGAGGAGCAUCUUGCCUGUUUGCAAGUAGAUUCACCAUUUGGAGGAACACCGCUGUCAUGGAAGGUCAUGGUUGGAGAAGGGGAAGGGGGUCUCACAGGUACCACUUCUACGAAACGAUUUUGUAAAGAAC
This is a long non-coding RNA of Gallus gallus (chicken), 666 nucleotides long. The record is from Ensembl. Lineage: Eukaryota; Metazoa; Chordata; Aves; Galliformes; Phasianidae.